Malaclemys terrapin pileata is the source of this 624-nucleotide long non-coding RNA. RefSeq lists it as uncharacterized. The transcript is spliced from 7 exons. Lineage: Eukaryota; Metazoa; Chordata; Testudines; Emydidae. The record is from RefSeq and is a predicted model, not a curated record.
CUCAGACAAAAUUUUGCCUGCACGGAGAGGAGCGGAGAUUUGGCCGGAUGUUCGUUCAUGUUGCGAAGGAGGUCAGAGAGACCUGCAGUCUGCCCCCAAUCCAGCCCCAGUGUGACCCUUCUCCUGCGCUCUCUGUUGCAACGCCUGGACCUGUUGGUGCGAGAUUGGCAGCUCUCCGAAGCCUACGGCGCAGAAGAGGGACAGGAGUAUCUCAAAGACAUCACACAGGACCUGGCAGCCUCUUCUGAGUAGCCCCUGGUGUUGGGAGCCCUGAGGGCGAGAGGGACCCGGUGCUAUCUACUGCUCCACCCUGGCACUAGGUUCACCAAGAGCAGGGCAGGGACGCCAGGCGACAUGGACGAGGAUUUCCGGCAGUGCCUGUGUGACUACAUCAGCACCGUGGUGCACUCAGCAGGGACACACGUCCGGAUGGACUGAGCCGGGCUGGUGCUGACGGGGGCUCAGCUGGCUGCCAGGAUCAAGGACGUCUCCCGAUACUUGAAGACCCAACGCUACGACUUCUCCUCCCCUCUGAAGAUGGCUGAAGCAUUUGCAGCGAUGAGAAAGGAGAAAAACAGCAAAGCAGUAGAAGCCGCCAGGAGAGAAUAUGAACAAUUUGUGCAG